AUAAACUAAAACUUUCAACAACGGAUCUCUUGGUUCUGGCAUCGAUGAAGAACGCAGCGAAAUGCGAUAAGUAAUGUGAAUUGCAGAAUUCAGUGAAUCAUCGAAUCUUUGAACGCACAUUGCGCCCCUUGGUAUUCCGGGGGGCAUGCCUGUUCGA
Molecule: ribosomal RNA, 157 nt
Filed under: Lasiodiplodia theobromae
Lineage: Eukaryota; Fungi; Ascomycota; Dothideomycetes; Botryosphaeriales; Botryosphaeriaceae
Also listed under: 1 other name
Description: 5.8S ribosomal RNA
Rfam family: 5.8S ribosomal RNA
About the family: 5.8S ribosomal RNA (5.8S rRNA) is a component of the large subunit of the eukaryotic ribosome. It is transcribed by RNA polymerase I as part of the 45S precursor that also contains 18S and 28S rRNA.
Source: RNAcentral